Molecule: long non-coding RNA, 1980 nt
Organism: Esox lucius (northern pike)
Lineage: Eukaryota; Metazoa; Chordata; Actinopteri; Esociformes; Esocidae
Source: Ensembl
CAGACAUUUAAAUAUAUUGGUAUUAAAUGCAUUUUCUGAGAAUUUAUAUUUUAUGUUUUGACUGCAAAUGUCACGUCCAUAACGCUGGAAUUGCCCACGUACUGUUUACCUGAAAUAAGAAAAGUUAAAACUUAUUACAGUUGCGGAAUUUUUCCUGCUCUCCUGACAUCUUGCAAUGAUUUCUGGGUUAUCAGAUGCGUUCUCGCUGAACAAGUCACCAACCCAUGCAUCCUCGUUAAAAGAGGCGGAUGAAGUACACAUCCAGGCAUUUAAUGCGUUCUUGGUAACUUGCAUUAUUUGGAUUGGAACCGAGAAGGUGCUGGAAGAUGGCAGCUUAUGCACACAAACUUUUGCAAGCUAGUUAUCGAUGUCUCUAUUUUUACGGAUAUCUCAAAAUUCUCUUGUCUAAAUAUACUCAGAUAAACCAAAAUAACAUUUUAACACGAUAUUGUACAUUUUUGAAAUAGUAAAUAGUUAAAAAAAAAAUAUGUCAAGAUCAAAAUCUACCUCAGGAAAUUUCUCUACAAACGCUAAAGGACCUAGCACCAUUGGCAGCAGUGCCAAGGUUACUACAAGUGGAAACUCUUCUGACCACAACUAUGUCCUAAGUUCGCCUUCAGUGGGACCGAACGAGAAACGAAGGGAUUCAUCACACCUUUCCCCUAUUAAGGGACUUCGUUCAAAAAAAGAUAAGCACGAAGAGGAAGAAGGUAUGGAAUCGGGAGUGGAGGAUGUUUCCAAUAGGAUACUCCUUGAUGCCAUCAACAUGCUUACAAACAGAUUUGAUAAGCAAGACAAGACCCUCGAGGACACAAUUGCUCAAAUUAAGCAAUAUAGCCUUAUAAUUACCAAUGCAACAAAGGCAAUUUAAUUUAAUGCUACGGAGAUAAAAGAAAAUACAGAGAAGACUGUCAAAAGAAAGUGUCACUACUCCUCAAAGACAACGAGGAAAUGAAAACCAAAGCUGCGGAACUGGCGUGCUAUAAACGCAGAUGGAACCUCAGAAUAAAUGGAAUGAAAGAGAAUCAUUCACACGAGGAAAAUACCAGAGAGGAAAUCAUCCGUCUUCUAGCAAAGAUUGCACCCCACUUGUCAGGGAAGCUCGAGGAUGUAGUGGAUGUUGUGCAUUGGAUAGGUCGGAAGGAGGAAAAGAAACAUAGACAGGUGAUUAUACAAUUCAGCAUGCGUCGAUACCGAGGUAAGUUUUGGAAAAUCACAAAGACAACUCCCGUAUGCAAGGAACAUGGCAUUCGGUUUGCUGAAGACUUUAUAUCUCAGUAGAGAAAGUAGGGUACUUAUAUUUUAGUUCGAUAACACUUUACAGGCAGUUCUUACAUAUUAGUUAGCCUGUGUUACGAGGUUAUGUUUCCGUUAAAACAUUCUUUACAACGAGGAAAACAUUCAAAGACAACGAGGAAAUGAAAACCAAAGCUGCGGAACUGGCGUGCUAUAAACGCAGAUGGAACCUCAGAAUAAAUGGAAUGAAAGAGAAUCAUUCACACGAGGAAAAUACCAGAGAGGAAAUCAUCCGUCUUCUAGCAAAGAUUGCACCCCACUUGUCUGGGAAGCUCGAGGAUGUAGUGGAUGUUGUGCAUUGGAUAGGUCGGAAGGAGGAAAAGAAACAUAGACAGCGGAUGGGCUCCGGCGUUCGACGUCACCGGCCUUCUGACACCAUCGUCCAUCUCAUCAUGCUUUUCACCUGUGUCCUGUUUAACGCACCUGUUCCUCAUCCUCAUCAUUUCCCCCCAGUAUAUAUGUUCCCUCUGCUCCCCCUGUCUUUGUGUGUAAUUGUCUCUAUAUAUAAGAAAGAGCAGUGUACGCUUCGAUUCUAUUAAAAACACUGUAUAACGAUCACGCAAUUCUCCUGCUCCUCCUUUAUCCACCCCCCGAAGAUGUGACAUCACUGACGAAUUGUUUUGUUUUUAUAAGGAGUAAUAUUCCUCGUCUUACUCUUUUACUGAUUGCAAUGGUGUUUUUGAG